UACGUAGGGCGCGAGCGUUGUCCGGAAUUAUUGGGCGUAAAGGGCUCGUAGGCGGUCUGUCGCGUCGGGAGUGAAAACUCAGGGCUUAACCCUGAGCCUGCUUCCGAUACGGGCAGACCAGAGGUAUGCAGGGGAGAACGGAAUUCCUGGUGUAGCGGUGGAAUGCGCAGAUAUCAGGAGGAACACCGAUUGCGAAGGCAGCUCGCUGGAACGUUACUGACGCUGAGACGCGAAAGCGUGGGGAGCAAACAGG
This 253-nucleotide ribosomal RNA is filed under the name uncultured bacterium. Its description in RNAcentral is "partial 16S ribosomal RNA". It matches the Rfam family "Bacterial small subunit ribosomal RNA", at positions 524 to 776 of the family's 1533-position model. The record is from RNAcentral.